UAAAGCUGAAAUUGAUGGGUAUUUGAUUUGUAAGGAUAUCAAAGGUUAUUGGGAGAAGGCAGAAGAAUGGUGUUGAGAGGGAAAUAUGGAUCAGUCAUGAUUAGACCAGGUGAAAUAGACUCAAUGCGGACAAUUCUAGAUCAGGCAGAGUAGACACAAUAGGCCGAAGCCUGAA
Long non-coding RNA from Amblyraja radiata (thorny skate), 175 nucleotides. RefSeq lists it as uncharacterized. The transcript has 3 exons. The record is from RefSeq and is a predicted model, not a curated record. NCBI's taxonomy places the organism in Eukaryota, Metazoa, Chordata, Chondrichthyes, Rajiformes, Rajidae.